Non-coding RNA from Mycena vulgaris, 93 nucleotides. The record is from the annotation of a GenBank genome assembly. NCBI's taxonomy places the organism in Eukaryota, Fungi, Basidiomycota, Agaricomycetes, Agaricales, Mycenaceae.
GCUUGCGUAGCUUAAUGGGAAAGCACCGCUCCACAAUUCAUGUGAAAGCGGGUGAUUCAAGCGGGUAUCCGAGUUCGACUCUCGGCGCAAGCC